UUUGUCUGCCGCCUGCUUUUUCUAGAACAACGCAGACUACUUUUAGGCUCAGAGGGAACAGUGGGGCUUUUCUGUUCAGGAGGAAAAGGCUGGUUGAAGAAUCCGAAGUCGGGGUUUCUGAGGCAGCUGCAGAGGAGCUUGCCUCCCGGGACAGCGAUGGUGCAGCCCUUAGCACCCACUCCAAGUGCUGUUUACGGCACAGGGCUCCAGAUGGAAACGUGAGGAUGCACAUGUUCUGAGUCCUCUCCCCGAAGAAGACGGGAUCGCACAGCUGUGUGCGAUCAUCAAGCUGUUUCACGAGAGACUUGGGUUUGUCGUCCGUCAGACACCUGGAGCCAAUCCAAGGGCAGAGCGAGGGGGUAAUGGUCAGGGCCGAGCCACUUCUCACAGCAGCAUCUCCUCCUCACGGUGCUCAGGGGCCUCUGUGAAUUAUCUUUAUUUAGCAGAACGAAAGAGGCUCGAAGACACAGGCAAAAUGGCACAGACAUUCAAGGACUCUGUUCCAGGAUUUUGAAUAAAGUGCAGAUAUUCCGACUAUCCACCCAGCAAGUCUAUGAAGUGUUUGCCCAAGAGAAACCUAUGCAGACAAAAAGACUUGCAGGGGAAGCAAUCCAAAUGUCCACAAACAAGAGAAUGGACAGAGACAGCCAUAUUAUGGAAUACUAUUCAGCAGUGAAAAAGAGCAAGCCACUACUACACAUACGGAACCUUGUCUGAGGUUCACAGACAAGCAGUGAGGCUCCAUGGGACUGAGCAGACCUGUGCUCUCCUCCGGAGAGAGAGCACUGUGGGUGAGGACGAGGACAGCUGAUCUGCGGUUCCGCCGAGGGUGUGGCGUUUGGCAGAUUUAAUGGAGCUGGAGGAGAAAGUAUUAACCAUGUCAUUAACCAUGUCAUUAAUAAAAGUAACAAAGUGA
Peromyscus californicus insignis is the source of this 916-nucleotide long non-coding RNA. RefSeq lists it as uncharacterized. The record is from RefSeq and is a predicted model, not a curated record. The transcript is spliced from 2 exons. Lineage: Eukaryota; Metazoa; Chordata; Mammalia; Rodentia; Cricetidae.